UAGAAAAGAAAGGACCCCGGAGGGCAGGGAAUGGUAGAAAGGAUCCAGCGGCUUCUCUUUCAGCAUUAGCUGCUACCUCGAAGUCGUAGCUUUGGAGCUGCCACACUGCAGAUCCGGAGAGAGCGCAUCGGGAAAACAUCUUCUGGCAGGAGCGGGGGAAGGAGAGAGCCCCGAGCUGCCCAUUCCUGUCAGGCUGCAGCGCUGCAAGCACCGCUCCGGGCCUGGCUCUUGCCCAGGGAGGACUGGAGACAUGGAGGGAGGCUGAGCACCACGGCUUGGAAAGCAGAGGGCAAAGGAAACACAGCUUUGUGGCAGCAGGGCACCAGGAGAGAAGAGUGGAAGGUAACUUCUGUGGAAGGAAUAGUCUUCAAAGGACCUGAGAAGUAGUCUGGAGACUGGAGUGACCUCCUUUACUGCUUCCCAUGGCAGUCGUGGAGCUAGCAAGAGGAAUGAGAAAGCAGUAUUAUUUAUUUCAUCUACUAUAAAAAGUGACUUUUUAAGAUCUUGUUCAAGUAAAUGGAGCAAUGAAUUCUCCUUUGCCCCUGACUGCUGUUGAAGACAUGUGACUUAUUAGAUAUGCUGCUAUUGUAAUCAAAGUAACUAGCCAGGCUAUUUUAAACUGUGAAGAACUGGAUGUCUGGGAAAUGGGGAAAAAAGGAUUAGGUGGCACAAGAGAAAAGAAACUUCAUCUGUGACAGUCUUGGGCACUUUGUAGAAUUUCCUCUUAAAGCGGUUUCACAAGCUUGUCUGGCAGAGAAGUGAUAAAUCGUUCAACAACUCAGGCUUGCCAAAGUAGUUUAAGGAGCUUUCAAAGGAAACUUUUAAAGACUUGUGGCUUUCAACUGCAUGUGAAUCAUCCUGAAGAGUGAAACUAUAAUUGCUAACCUCCAUUUAAUGGGUCACCAUAUACCUGUCUGUGUGUUCAUGAGCUCUGGCACUCAGUUCAAGAGUCAUGUUCCCAUGCAGAUCCCAUGCCUGCGUCCAAGAGCCCACAGGGAUGCCACUGCUGUUGCCAAUCUACUGAACUUGAAAAUCUAAGCUGGCAGAGCCUGCAAGCAACUGAGGUCAAAAAAACCCACAUAAAGGUAGUAGUAGGAAUGUCAUGUCCACACACACAGCCUAGGCAGGGAGCCAUGUCCUUUCUCAGCCUCUUUUCUUAUGAGGCUCUUUUUGUUUGUCUAAGGAUGUAUGGGGAUUAGAGAGAGUGGGCUAUGGGGAUUUUAUCCCCUAUGUAACACCCUUACCAGGAAAGUCAAACAAACAGGGCCAGAGGUGUCCCACAGGAGGCCCCAGAGCUGUCCUCAGGGAGGGCUUGUUGGUACGGGGCUAGCAGAGGUGUGCUUGCAGAAUCUGGGACAAGAUGUGGCCAGCUGGCUGCUGGUGCACUGCAGAGAUGGGUCCCAUAACCUCCUCUGAGUUAAGGCACAUAUUUAUAUAGCCCUACCAGAAAAGGCAGGGUGGAACACGCUAAUAUAUACACAUUAAAGAGACUGAAUAAAUAAACAGUAGGUUCUGAUUUAUUUUCUCUGCUACUUGGCGAUCUUAGUUUUGGCACAAGAUAGAUUUCAUACACAAAUGUGAUCCCCAGAUAGGUUCUUGUCCUGCCUGAUUUAGAAACCAUGUGCAUAGGAGAAAAACUUCACAAAUGUUCUUAAAGCAUAAUGAUAUUUAUGCUGUUUAU
This is a long non-coding RNA of Hirundo rustica (Barn swallow), 1681 nucleotides long. RefSeq lists it as uncharacterized. The transcript has 3 exons. Lineage: Eukaryota; Metazoa; Chordata; Aves; Passeriformes; Hirundinidae. The record is from RefSeq and is a predicted model, not a curated record.